This 341-nucleotide small RNA is filed under the name Pisolithus microcarpus 441. RNAcentral describes it as "5' ureB small RNA". It matches the Rfam family "5' ureB small RNA". The record is from Rfam by way of RNAcentral. Lineage: Eukaryota; Fungi; Basidiomycota; Agaricomycetes; Boletales; Pisolithaceae.
CUUCUGUGACUUGUUGCGGGCAGAUAUAGUGUACGUGUGCAUCGAUAGCGCCUGCCGUGACAAGCAACUUUUCGCCCGCAAUGACUUCGGUCGCAGAGCCGAUGAUCAGGCGGGAGUCUACUCCAUGCAUCAUGUCUGGAUUGCCGGCCUUUCCAAUUCCAACGAUAAUGCCGCCUCGGACGCCAAUGUCUGCCUGCAGUGCAUAGGCAUAUAUGCCGCGCGGAGAGGGGUCCAGGUGGACUCACCUUGUAAAUCCCACUCCAGUCAACGAUGACGGCGUUCGUUAUGACGAGAUCAAGGGCUUCUACACAACCCGUUUUUUGGCCCAUUCCAUCCCGAAU